Molecule: ribosomal RNA, 253 nt
Filed under: uncultured bacterium
Lineage: Bacteria
Description: partial 16S ribosomal RNA
Rfam family: Bacterial small subunit ribosomal RNA
Source: RNAcentral
GACGAACCGUCCAAACGUUGUUCGGAAUCACUGGGCUUAAAGCGCGCGUAGGCGGCUUUGCAAGUCGGGUGUGAAAUCCCCAGGCUUAACCUGGGAACUGCAUUCGAGACUGCAUUGCUAGAGUAUGGGAGAGGGAAGUGGAAUUUCCGGUGUAGCGGUGAAAUGCGUAAAUAUCGGAAGGAACAUCAGUGGCGAAAGCGACUUCCUGGACCAAUACUGACGAUCAGGUGCGAAAGCGUGGGGAGCAAACAGG